This 253-nucleotide ribosomal RNA is filed under the name uncultured bacterium. RNAcentral describes it as "partial 16S ribosomal RNA". It matches the Rfam family "Bacterial small subunit ribosomal RNA", at positions 524 to 776 of the family's 1533-position model. The record is from RNAcentral.
UACAGAGGUCUCAAGCGUUGUUCGGAUUCAUUGGGCGUAAAGGGUGUGUAGGUGGCGCGCUAAGUCGGGUGUGAAAUUUCGGAGCUUAACUCCGAAACUGCAUUCGAUACUGGCGUGCUUGAGGACUGGAGAGGAGACUGGAAUUCAUGGUGUAGCAGUGAAAUGCGUAGAGAUGCGGAGGAACACCGAUGGCGAAGGCAGCCCCCUGGGUCGACACUGACGCUCAGGCACGAAAGCGUGGGGAGCAAACAGG